Long non-coding RNA from Bos taurus (domestic cattle), 678 nucleotides. The record is from Ensembl. NCBI's taxonomy places the organism in Eukaryota, Metazoa, Chordata, Mammalia, Artiodactyla, Bovidae.
AGCAGUGAGACUGAUGGUUUGCACCUGGCCUUGGCAAGACCCCUGACAGCUCUGCCGUUGAGGUCAGUGUAGAAGCGUUAGGACAGGGGGGCUGAAUUCCUCUCUUUCUGAGGGGCAGUGGAGCCCGAGCCAGCCUGUGGCUUCAUCAUCCACACCUUCAGUGUCCCCGGGGGCUCUCCUGACAUCUUGACGUCAGCACAGUCCCUCUUCUGCAUAAGGUCUCCCUCCAGGUGCUGGGGUUACCGCGACCAAGACGAAUGCAGACUCCGUUUCCCUGAGGCUUCAACUCCUGGAAGACAGCCACGUGGAGGAGGCUACAGCUGCCUUCAGACAUCGAAGAGGGGAACCCCCAGAAGCCCAAGGGUGCGGUCUGUGGUCAGGGCAGCGAAUGGCCCCCGGGAGGCUGCACUCUGGGCUCUGGUCCUGGCGGCAUGAUCAACUUUCUGGGCGACCUCGGACAAGUCACUCUCCCUCUCUGAACUUUAGUGUCCUCAUCUAUAAAGCGAGUGCACUGGUCUAAGACCCCAGCCAGGUCUUAGCUGCAGCCCUCGGAACCUUUAGUUGUGGCGUUCAAACUCCUGAUUGCGGCAUGUGGGAUCUAGUUCCCUGACCGGGAACCAAACCCCAGGCCUCCUGCAUUGGGAGGACAGAGUCUUAGCCUCCAGGCCCCCAUGGAAG